GAUGAAGAACGUAGCGAAAUGCGAUAAGUAAUGUGAAUUGCAGAAUUCAGUGAAUCAUCGAAUCUUUGAACGCACCUUGCGCCCUUUGGCUAUUCCGAAGGGCAUGCCUGUUUUAGUAUCAUGAACACCUCAACUCUCAUGGUUUGCCAUGAUGAGCUUGGACUCUGGGGGUCUUGCUGGCCUAUGGUCAGCUCCUCUCAAAUAAAUCAGCUUGCCAGUGUUUGGUGGCAUCACAGGUGUGAUAACUAUCUACGCUUGUGGUUUUCCAUCAGGUAACCUUCAGUGAUGGAGGUUCGCUGGAGCUCAUAAAUGUCCAUCCUCAGCGAGGACAGCUUUUUGAACGUUUGAUCUCAAAUCAGGUAGGACUACCCGCUGAACUUAAGCAUAUCAAAAGCGGAGGA
RNAcentral lists this unclassified non-coding RNA (401 nucleotides) under soil metagenome. Its description in RNAcentral is "partial contains 5.8S ribosomal RNA, internal transcribed spacer 2, and large subunit ribosomal RNA". The stretch from base 1 to 121 matches the Rfam family "5.8S ribosomal RNA", at positions 35 to 154 of the family's 154-position model. The record is from RNAcentral.